This 72-nucleotide transfer RNA is filed under the name Ictidomys tridecemlineatus (thirteen-lined ground squirrel). RNAcentral describes it as "Spermophilus tridecemlineatus (thirteen-lined ground squirrel) tRNA". It matches the Rfam family "tRNA". Rfam says of the family: Transfer RNA (tRNA) molecules are approximately 80 nucleotides in length. Lineage: Eukaryota; Metazoa; Chordata; Mammalia; Rodentia; Sciuridae. The record is from Rfam by way of RNAcentral.
GGGGUUGUAGCUCAGUGGUAGAGUGCUCGCCUAGCAUGCAUGAGGCACUGGGUUCAAUCCUCAUCAGCACCA